GGAAGGAUUAACCGAGAAAUUCGGUAUUUAAACAUAAGCAACUCAAUGAUUAGCCAGAUGUGUCAACGCAUCUGGAACACUAUAACAUAACCAACAUGUAGAAAGAUAGAUUUUCCUUUGAUCCUUUCCUCAAUUAUAGAAAAAAUUUAUGUACAAUAAAUUGUGAUUAAGUUCAUGUUUAUCAAAACAAACUUGAUAAGUUGUGGCUGUGGUUCUUUCUUCAAUCGUUAUCAACAACCACAGUCCACAGACGUAGAAAUUGAUAAGUCAAAUUCACAAGUGGUUUAAUAAAGACGACGACGACAACAACAAUAAUAGUAAUAAGAGGGUGAAGUUAGAAGAAGAACCUAAGGAUCCAAGAGCAAUGCCAAGGAUGAGCAAAGCAACCGUGUAAGGGACUCUAGUCCCACGCAGAAGGUGUCUACAAGCAAUUCCAAGAGCAAGACUGAGACCAAAGAAGAUAACUGCAUCUGAUGGAUUUGAUUCAUUCUCUGAAGAAGGAGGAGAAGAAGCUGAAGCUGAAAGGGAAUAGGAAAGCGGUUGUUGCUGGUCCAUGAUUCUGUAGGUAGGUAGUGAUUCUUCUUCCAUCAACAACAACAACGACAUAUCAUAUACAAGAUGAAGAUGAAGAUGAAGAUAAGUUAGGUCGUGCUUGUUGACAGUGCUUGCUGCGUUAUUUAUUUAUCUAGGAAAAUGAUUUGCCCACUUAAAUUUCAGACUUUUUGUUUUUUCUGCCUGCCUCUCAAAUGAAUUAAAUAAGAUUAAGUAACAACAAGAGGGAUUUUGAUCAAAACAUAUGUAAAUUUAAAAUUGAUUAUUUCUUGGUGUUAUUUGAACAAUCAAUUGGUGACAACUUAUUU
This 860-nucleotide long non-coding RNA is filed under the name Medicago truncatula (barrel medic). RNAcentral's name for it is "lncRNA gene48729". The record is from RNAcentral. Lineage: Eukaryota; Viridiplantae; Streptophyta; Magnoliopsida; Fabales; Fabaceae.